This 622-nucleotide ribosomal RNA is filed under the name uncultured soil archaeon. RNAcentral describes it as "bacterial SSU rRNA". It matches the Rfam family "Archaeal small subunit ribosomal RNA", at positions 229 to 854 of the family's 1478-position model. The record is from RNAcentral.
GUUGUUGGUGAGGUAACGGCCCACCAAGCCUUUAACCGGUACGGGCCGUGGGAGCGGUAGCCCGGAGAUGGGCACUGAGACAAGGGCCCAGGCCCUACGGGGCGCAGCAGUCGCGAAAACUUCGCAAUAAGCGAAAGCUUGACGGGGCCAUCCCGAGUGCCAUCUGCUGAGGAUGGCUUUUACCCAGUAUAGAUAGCUGGGAGAAUAAGGAGAGGGCAAGUCUGGUGUCAGCCGCCGCGGUAAUACCAGCUCUCCGAGUUGUAGGGAUGUUUAUUGGGCCUGAAGCAUCCGUAGCCGGCUGGACAAGUCCCCUGUUAAAUCCAGCGACCAAUCGUUGGUCUGCGGGGGAUACUGUCCGGCUAGGGGGCGGGAGAGGCCGUCGGUAUUCUUGGGGUAGGGGUGAAAUCCUAUAAUCCCAGGAGGACCACCAGUGGCGAAGGCUGUCGGCUAGAACGCGCCCGACGGUGAGGGAUGAAAGCUGGGGGAGCGAACCGGAUUAGAUACCCGGGUAGUCCCAGCUGUAAACGAUGCAGGCUAGGUGUUAGGGCGGCUACGUGCCGCUCUAGUGCCGCAGGGAAGCUGUUAAGCCUGCCGCCUGGGGAGAACGGCCGCAAGCUGAACA